AUGGGGAAUAUUGGACAAUGGGCGAAAGCCUGAUCCAGCCAUGCCGCGUGUGUGAAGAAGGUCUUCGGAUUGUAAAGCACUUUAAGUUGGGAGGAAGGGCAGUAAGUUAAUACCUUGCUGUUUUGACGUUACCGACAGAAUAAGCACCGGCUAACUUCGUGCCAGCAGCCGCGGUAAUACGAAGGGUGCAAGCGUUAAUCGGAAUUACUGGGCGUAAAGCGCGCGUAGGUGGUUUUGUAAGUUGGAGGUGAAAUCCCCGGGCUCAACCUGGGAACUGCCUCCAAAACUGCAUGACUAGAGUACGGUAGAGGGUAGUGGAAUUUCCUGUGUAGCGGUGAAAUGCGUAGAUAUAGGAAGGAACACCAGUGGCGAAGGCGACUACCUGGACUGAUACUGACACUGAGGUGCGAAAGCGUGGGGAGCAAACAGGAUUAGAUACCCUUGUAGUCC
RNAcentral lists this ribosomal RNA (450 nucleotides) under uncultured bacterium. RNAcentral's name for it is "bacterial SSU rRNA". It matches the Rfam family "Bacterial small subunit ribosomal RNA", at positions 354 to 796 of the family's 1533-position model. The record is from RNAcentral.